Molecule: ribosomal RNA, 253 nt
Filed under: uncultured bacterium
Lineage: Bacteria
Description: partial 16S ribosomal RNA
Rfam family: Bacterial small subunit ribosomal RNA
Source: RNAcentral
UACAGAGGUCUCAAGCGUUGUUCGGAUUCAUUGGGCGUAAAGGGUGCGUAGGCGGUGAGGUAAGUUGGAUGUGAAAUCCCGGGGCUUAACCCCGGAACUGCAUUCAAUACUGCCUUGCUAGAGUACUGGAGAGGAGAUUGGAAUUCACGGUGUAGCAGUGAAAUGCGUAGAUAUCAUGAGGAAGACCAGUGGCGAAGGCGAAUCUCUGGACAGUAACUGACGCUGAGGCACGAAGGCCAGGGGAGCAAACGGG